Molecule: ribosomal RNA, 250 nt
Filed under: uncultured bacterium
Lineage: Bacteria
Description: partial 16S ribosomal RNA
Rfam family: Bacterial small subunit ribosomal RNA
Source: RNAcentral
GACGAACGCUGGCGGCGUGCUUAACACAUGCAAGUCGAACGAUGAAGCUGGAGCUUGCUCCGGUGAAUUAGUGGCGAACGGGUGAGUAACACGUGAGCAAUCUGCCCUUGACUCUGGGAUAACUGCGGGAAACUGUAGCUAAUACCGGAUACGAGGCCUGGGGGCAUCCCCGGGCCUGGAAAGAAUUUCGGUCAAGGAUGAGCUCGCGGCCUAUCAGCUAGUUGGUGAGGUAAUGGCUCACCAAGGCGAC